CUUUAUUUUCCACCCGCCAGCAUCCGUCUGUUCUGCUGGUACCCGGCACGUUUUCUCUCAGAGGGCCCAGCUGCUCCCUAACUGAACUCAGCUGUGAAACGUGAUGCUGCUUUCUCAGACCUGAAAAAGGCUGCACUCAAAAGCUGGGUUACGUUUUUCCAAGCUGCUUGAGCUGCCAACCACUGCUCUAAAGCAACAGAGGAGCACGGAGUGCUGGUUUCUCCAGGGCUGAGGAUGCCACAGAGCAUGCCAGUGAAUCCAGCUUCGUCUCACCAAAAGCUGCUGAGCUCUAGGAAUACCUGGCUGUCCUUUCUGACCCUGAUACUUGGGCUGCUCAGACACCCUCGUCUCCUCUUCCUUGUUAAUGUCCUUAAGAACUGAAGAAAUCCAAGAGCAGGCACUGAGGGAAGCCCAGGUCCAUGCUCAGCAGCCGCUGCCUGCACAAGGAGGGCUGGCACAGCCUCGUGCACAUGCCAGCGUGGCACCAAGAGAAGUCCCUGGAGAACGCUCCCAGCCUGUUUCCUUCAGAAACUCGGUCCGUAACACUUUCUGACACCUUUGAUUCAGCCUUUGCAAUGUAAAGGCUGGACCUGGUGUGUAGGGACAUGGUUUAGUGGGUGACAUUGGUGAUGCUUGGACCAGAUGAUCUCGAAGGCCUUUCCCAACCUUAAUGAUUCUACAUCCAAAUUUUGCUUGCAGCAUGCACACGUGCAAAAGUCCCUCUCUGCCAGCUCCUUGAAGGUCUGUUUUUGUGAGGCUUAGGCAGCAAUCUGGGGUUAGCACCUCAUCUAGCCAGCACCGCUCUAAAAGCAUAGAUCUGCUGCUGCUGCACAGAAGCAUUAAAACAUAAGACAACAGAGUCAGUUUUGAUUUAGGAUCAAUAAGCAGAUAGAAGCAGCUCUAAAUAAGUUAUGCUGGGAGUAAAAAUAGCAGAGAAUGCGAUGUAAUCCAAAACACGGCAAGAAAUCUAAGUACUUCAAAUGCCCAGUCAAUUAAUUUGCUUUCAUAAUACAAUUAUUUGUAUUAUUAAGAGAAACUCAUUUUCAUGGAUGAAAUUUACUCAGACUAACAUAAUUCACAUUUCAUUCCCAGAUUCCUAUUAGAGAAAAUAGAUCUCAAGGCAGAUGGUAUGAGUCUGAAUAAGCUGUAUAAAAAUAAAGCUGAUGUCCUUGUGAGGUUAAUGACUGCUGAGGAAAAAAACAAAAGGCAUUUCUCCAGUAAGGUGCUAAACAAAAAUUACAUUUGUAAGAUAAUCCAUAAGGAGGAAAGAGAGAUUCCUGCUCUUUGCUUCUGAGCUGCUAUCAUUUGAAUAUUGUGUAGACUUAUUACAAAAUUAGCAUGUACUCAGAAAGGGUUCAGAGAAAGAUCAGAUGAAGUUAGAUAGAAAAUAACGAGAUUUACAUUGGAAAAGAAGGCGAAUAAAAAGGGCACAAUAAAAAUGUGUAAAUAGAUGUGGCGAUGUAAAAAAAAAAAAAAGUAGAUCUGGACCUCCUGCUAUCUGUGCCUCCUAAAAUGAGAGCAAGAGGUGGAAGGAGCAGAACUGGUGAAAGGAAGCACGAUGAGCACGAAGAGCGGUAUCGGUGUCACAGUAAGGCCGGGAGUUUUGGGGGGUCUGAAAGUGUUUGGCCCUUCUGGCUCCCACACAACCUCAUCGUGGUCCACACAGGCCUGGGGUCCUGCGAGGCCAUCUCCCACUCCGUAAGGGGGCACAGCCACAGCCCCCCAGCUCGCCCAGGCUGUGGGCGAUGAGGGCAGCUCCCUCCUCUACCUCAGCUUGGUGGAUGGGAUGAAUGUGAAGGGCCACCUACUGCCAACAGUGACUGCCUCUUGCUGCAUAUGUUCAACUGGUGGGUCUUCAGGCCUCAAGCUCAGGGCCUGGAGAGCUCACAGAGGCUUAAGCCAGUUGAUUCUCCCAUGAUUCACACUCCUACCUUGACAAAUUCUUCCUCCUCAUUCCCCGUUUCUGCCCCAGCACAGCAGGACUCACGCUGCUGGACAUGGUAGCACGAACUCAGCCGUGUCGGUGCUGCUGCCAGCAGCCUUCAGAGGUCACGGCA
Long non-coding RNA from Anas platyrhynchos (mallard), 2057 nucleotides. RefSeq lists it as uncharacterized. Lineage: Eukaryota; Metazoa; Chordata; Aves; Anseriformes; Anatidae. The record is from RefSeq and is a predicted model, not a curated record.